AGAGUUUGAUCCUGGCUCAGGACGAACGCUGGCGGCACGCUUAACACAUGCAAGUCGAACGAGAGAAGAGGAGCUUGCUUUUCUGAUCUAGUGGUGGACGGGUGAGUAACACGUGAGCAAUCUGCCUUUCAGAGGGGGAUACCGAAUGGAAACGAUCGUUAAUACCGCAUAACAUAAUUGAACCGCAUGAUUUGAUUAUCAAAGAUUUAUCGCUGAAAGAUGAGCUCGCGUCUGAUUAGCUAGUUGGUAAGGUAACGGCUUACCAAGGCGACGAUCAGUAGCCGGACUGAGAGGUUGAUCGGCCACAUUGGGACUGAGACACGGCCCAGACUCCUACGGGAGGCAGCAGUGGGGAAUAUUGCACAAUGGAGGAAACUCUGAUGCAGCGAUGCCGCGUGAGGGAAGAAGGUUUUAGGAUUGUAAACCUCUGUCUUCAGGGACGAAAAAAGACGGUACCUGAGGAGGAAGCUCCGGCUAACUACGUGCCAGCAGCCGCGGUAAUACGUAGGGAGCGAGCGUUGUCCGGAAUUACUGGGUGUAAAGGGAGCGUAGGCGGGAUCGCAAGUCAGAUGUGAAAACUAUGGGCUUAACCCAUAAACUGCAUUUGAAACUGUGGUUCUUGAGUGAAGUAGAGGUAAGCGGAAUUCCUAGUGUAGCGGUGAAAUGCGUAGAUAUUAGGAGGAACAUCAGUGGCGAAGGCGGCUUACUGGGCUUUAACUGACGCUGAGGCUCGAAAGCGUGGGGAGCAAACAGGAUUAGAUACCCUGGUAGUCCACGCCGUAAACGAUGAUUACUAGGUGUGGGGGGACUGACCCCUUCCGUGCCGCAGCAAACGCAAUAAGUAAUCCACCUGGGGAGUACGACCGCAAGGUUGAGACUCAAAGGAAUUGACGGGGGCCCGCACAAGCAGUGGAGUAUGUGGAUUAAUUCGAAGCAACGCGAAGAACCUUACCAGGUCUUGACAUCGUAUGCAUAGCUCAGAGAUGAGUGAAAUCUCUUCGGAGACAUAUAGACAGGUGGUGCAUGGUUGUCGUCAGCUCGUGUCGUGAGAUGUUGGGUUAAGUCCCGCAACGAGCGCAACCCUUGCUGUUAGUUGCUACGCAAGAGCACUCUAGCAGGACUGCCGUUGACAAAACGGAGGAAGGUGGGGAUGACGUCAAAUCAUCAUGCCCCUUAUGACCUGGGCCUCACACGUACUACAAUGGCUGUCAACAGAGGGAAGCAAAGCCGCGAGGUGGAGCGAACCCCUAAAAGCAGUCUUAGUUCGGAUUGUAGGCUGCAACCCGCCUACAUGAAGUCGGAAUUGCUAGUAAUCGCAGAUCAGCAUGCUGCGGUGAAUACGUUCCCGGGCCUUGUACACACCGCCCGUCACGCCAUGGGAGUCGGUAACACCCGAAGCCUGUAGUCUAACCGCAAGGAGGACGCAGUCGAAGGUGGGAUUGAUGACUGGGGUGAAGUCGUAACAAGGUA
RNAcentral lists this ribosomal RNA (1470 nucleotides) under metagenome. RNAcentral describes it as "bacterial SSU rRNA". It matches the Rfam family "Bacterial small subunit ribosomal RNA". The record is from RNAcentral.